GACGAACGCUGGCGGCGUGCUUAACACAUGCAAGUCGAACGAAGUGGCGAACGGGUGAGUAACGCGUAAUCAACCUGCCCUUCAGAGGGGGACAACAGUUGGAAACGACUGCUAAUACCGCAUACUGAAGGAGGGGAUUGCGUCUGAUUAGCUAGUUGGUGGGGUAACGGCCGGCCAAGGCGAUGAUCAGUAGCCGGUCUGAGAGGAUGAUCGGCCACAUUGGGACUGGGACCCGGCCCAGACUCCUAGGGGAGGCAGCGGUGGGGAAUCUUCCGGAAUGGACGAAAGUCUGUCGGAGCAGCGCCGCGUGAGUGAUGACGGCCUUCGGGUUGUAAAGCUCUGUUAAUCGGGACGCGGUACCGGAAUAGAAAGCCACGGCUAACUACGUGCCAGCAGCCGCGGUAAUAC
Molecule: ribosomal RNA, 408 nt
Filed under: uncultured bacterium
Lineage: Bacteria
Description: partial 16S ribosomal RNA
Rfam family: Bacterial small subunit ribosomal RNA
Source: RNAcentral